This 110-nucleotide small nucleolar RNA is filed under the name Gossypium barbadense (sea-island cotton). Its description in RNAcentral is "Plant small nucleolar RNA R71". It matches the Rfam family "Plant small nucleolar RNA R71". From Rfam's summary of the family: R71 is a member of the C/D box family of snoRNAs containing the C (UGAUGA) and D (CUGA) box motifs. Multiple nearly identical copies of this snoRNA have been identified in Arabidopsis, and it is thought to function as a 2'-O-ribose methylation guide for 18S ribosomal RNA. Lineage: Eukaryota; Viridiplantae; Streptophyta; Magnoliopsida; Malvales; Malvaceae. RNAcentral also lists the same sequence under 2 other names. The record is from Rfam by way of RNAcentral.
AACCCAUGAUGAGGACUACCUUCUCAAAAUAUCCUUAAAUCUCUCCUAUGCAUCAUAUAAUGUCUCCAACUCAAUUUAAGCAAAAGAAGAGAUGUUCCACAUCUGAUGUG